UCAUCCAGUCUCCUUACGCGCACAACCAUGCCCUUCUGUCGUGCAUCUUCACCGGCCAACGACCGCCCGAUGCCCACGCUCGCCCUUACCGCUCGCUAUAGGUGGCGCCGCCACGUCGAGCCACGCCACCAGCCAGGCUGCUCCGCCACUCGCCACCAUGACAAGACAGCACGGCUGGCCAAUUCCCUCGCUCAACAAAACGAUCCUACCCGCCGAGGAUCCCCCUCCGCUAACCGCAGCAGCUCACCCAUGCGCGCCGCGCCACCACCAGCCAACAAGCACACCCGCUCCUCUGCACUGCUAGUGGCACGCUGCCCUCCUCCUCUCGCCCAACCACAGCCCGAGCUUAUCUCCAGCGCCCUUGGC
This 366-nucleotide long non-coding RNA is filed under the name Setaria viridis. RNAcentral describes it as "long non-coding RNA (SVIR_LNC007023)". The record is from RNAcentral. Lineage: Eukaryota; Viridiplantae; Streptophyta; Magnoliopsida; Poales; Poaceae.